GACGAACGCUGGCGGCGUGCCUUAUACAUGCAAGUAGAACGCUGACGGAGGAUCUUGCUCUUCUGGAUGAGUUGCGAACGGGAGAAUAACGCCUAAGCAACCUGCCUGGUGGCGGAUGAUAACUAUAGGAAACGAUUACUACUACCUCCUACCACUAGUUGUUGCCUGACAACUGUUUGAACUGUGCACUUGCAUCACUACCAUAUGGAACUGCCUUGUAUUAGCUAGUUGGGGGGACAACGGCUCACAUCUGCGACUAUACUUAGACGACCUGAGAGGGUGAUCGGACUCACUGGGACUGAGACAUCGUCCAGACUCCUACGGGAGGCAACUUUAGAGAAUCUUCGGCAAUGUGACUGAAGUCUGACCGAGCGACGCCGCGUGACUGAAGAAUGUUUUCGGAUCUUAGAGCUCUGUUGUAAGACAAGAGCGAGUGUGAGAGUGGAAAGAUCACACUGUGACAGUAUCUUACCACAAAGGGACUGCUAACUACCUGCCAACAGCCGCGGUAGUACGUAUGUCCCGAGCGUUGUCCGGAUUUAUUGUGCGUAAAGCGAGCUCAGGCAGCUAGAUAAGUCUGAAGUUAAAGGCUGUGGCUCUAGCCAUAGUACCCUUUGGAAACUGUUUAACUUGAGUGCAAUAGGGUACAGUGUAAUUCCAUGUGUAGCGGAGAUAUGCGUAGAUAUAUGGAGGAACGCCCGUGGCGAAAGCGGCUCUCGUGCUUGUAUCUCACGCUGAGGCUAGCAAGCGUAGCGAGCAAGCAGGACUAGAUACGAUGGUAGUUCACUCCGUAACCGAUGAGAGGUAGGUGUUAGAUCCUUUCCGAGGUUCAGUGCUGUAGCUAACGCAUUAAGCACUCGGCCUGGGGAGUACGACCGCAACGUGGAUACUCAUCGGAAUAGUCGGGGGCCCGCACAACCGGUGGAGCAUGAGGUGUAAUUAGAAGCAACGCGAAGAACCUCCUCAGGUCCUGACAUCCCUUUGACCGUUCUAGAGAUAGAGCUGUCUUUCGGGACAGAGGCCACAGCUCGUGCAUGGCAGUCGUCAGCUCAUGUCGUGUGAUGAGAGGUUAAGUCCCGCAACGAGCGCAGCCCAUACUGUUACUUGCCAUCAUUCACAAGGGCACUCUAGCGAGACUGCCGGUAACAAACCGGAGGAAGGUGGGGAUGACGUCAAAUCAUCAUGCCCCUUAUGACUUGGGCUACACACGUCAUACAAUGGUUGGUACAGCGAGUCGCCAACCGGCGACGGCAAGCCAAUCUCUCAAAGCCAGUCUCAGUUCGGAUUGCAGUCUGCAACUCGCCUACAUGAAGUCGGAAUCGCUAGUAAUCGCGGAUCAGCACGCCGCGGUGAAUACGUUCCCGGGCCU
Molecule: ribosomal RNA, 1369 nt
Filed under: uncultured bacterium
Lineage: Bacteria
Description: partial 16S ribosomal RNA
Rfam family: Bacterial small subunit ribosomal RNA
Source: RNAcentral